GACGAACGCUGGCGGCAUGCCUAAUACAUGCAAGUCUAGCGAACAGAUGAAGUGCUUGCACUUCUGACGUUAGCGGCGAACGGGUGAGUAACACGUAAGGAAUCUACCUAUAAGCGGGGGAUAACAUUCGGAAACGGGUGCUCAUACCGCAUAAUAUCUUCUUCCGCAUGGAAGAAGAUUGAAAGACGGCUCUGCUGUCACUUAUAGAUGACCUUGCGGUCCAUUAGUUAGUGGGUGGGGUAACGGCCUACCAAGACGAUGAUGCAUAGCCGACCUAGGAGGGUGAUCGCCCACGGUGGGACGGAGCAACGGCCCAAACUCCUACGGGAGGCAGCAGUGGGGAAUAUUGGACAAUGGGCGCAAGCCUGAUCCAGCAACGCCGUGUGUGUGAAGAAGGCCUUAGGGUUGUAAAGCACUUUUAGUGGGGAAGAAAAGUUCAUGGCUAAUAUCCAUGAAUGCUGACGUUACCCACAGAAAAAGCACUGGCUAACUCUGUGCCAGCCGCCGCCGUAA
This 513-nucleotide ribosomal RNA is filed under the name uncultured bacterium. Its description in RNAcentral is "partial 16S ribosomal RNA". It matches the Rfam family "Bacterial small subunit ribosomal RNA", at positions 28 to 523 of the family's 1533-position model. The record is from RNAcentral.